This 25-nucleotide non-coding RNA is filed under the name Rattus norvegicus (Norway rat). Lineage: Eukaryota; Metazoa; Chordata; Mammalia; Rodentia; Muridae. The record is from RNAcentral.
GACCCAAAACGGAGACGGGCCCAGG